UACAGAGGUGGCUAGCGUUGUUCGGAAUUACUGGGCGUAAAGGGCGCGUAGGCGGUCGCCUAAGUCGGACGUGAAAUCCCCAGGCUUAACCUGGGAACUGCAUUCGAGACUGCAUUGCUAGAGUAUGGGAGAGGGAAGUGGAAUUUCCGGUGUAGCGGUGAAAUGCGUAGAUAUCGGAAGGAACAUCAGUGGCGAAAGCGACUUCCUGGACCAAUACUGACGCUCAGGUGCGAAAGCGUGGGGAGCAAACAGG
This 253-nucleotide ribosomal RNA is filed under the name uncultured bacterium. Its description in RNAcentral is "partial 16S ribosomal RNA". It matches the Rfam family "Bacterial small subunit ribosomal RNA", at positions 524 to 776 of the family's 1533-position model. The record is from RNAcentral.